RNAcentral lists this ribosomal RNA (1527 nucleotides) under metagenome. RNAcentral describes it as "bacterial SSU rRNA". It matches the Rfam family "Bacterial small subunit ribosomal RNA". The record is from RNAcentral.
AGAGUUUGAUCCUGGCUCAGAACGAACGCUGGCGGCGUGCCUAAUACAUGCAAGUCGAACGAGAAUUUGGGGUAACCCAUUAGUAAAGUGGCAGACGGGUGAGUAAUACAUAAGUAACUUACCUUUUAGUUGGGGAUAACCUUCCGAAAGGAGGGCUAAUACCGAAUAAGACCACGAAAGCUACGGUUUUUGGGGUUAGAGGUGGCUUCGGCUAUCGCUAAAAGGUGGGCUUAUGCACCAUCAGCUAGUUGGCGAGGUAACGGCUCACCAAGGCUUUGACGGUUAACUGAUCUGAGAGGUUGAUCAGUCACACUGGAACUGAGACACGGUCCAGACUCCUACGGGAGGCAGCAGUAGGGAAUAUUGCGCAAUGGAGGAAACUCUGACGCAGCGACGCCGCGUGGGUGAUGAAGGCUUUCGGGUCGUAAAGCCCUGUCGGAGGGGAAGAAACACGGUAGUGCUAACACCACUACCGCUUGACGGUACCCUCAAAGGAAGCACCGGCUAACUACGUGCCAGCAGCCGCGGUAAUACGUAGGGUGCUAGCGUUGUUCGGAAUCAUUGGGCGUAAAGCGCGUGUAGGUGGCUAUGUAAGUCGAAUGUGAAAUCCCUGGGCUCAACCGAGGAAGCGCAUUCGAAACUACAUAGCUCGAGGACGGUAGAGGAAGGUGGAAUUCCUAAAGUAGAGGUGAAAUUCGUAGAUAUUAGGAGGAAUACCGGCGGCGAAGGCGGCCUUCUGGGCCGUUCCUGACACUGAGACGCGAAAGCGUGGGUAGCAAACAGGAUUAGAUACCCUGGUAGUCCACGCUGUAAACGAUGGGUACUAGGUGUUGCGGGAAUUGACCCCUGCAGUGCCGUAGCUAACGCAUUAAGUACCCCGCCUGGGAAGUACGGUCGCAAGAUUAAAACUCAAAGGAAUUGACGGGGGCCCGCACAAGCGGUGGAGCAUGUGGUUUAAUUCGAUGCCACGCGAAAAACCUUACCUGGGUUAGAAGACGUCGGACAGUCCUAGAGAUAGGAUCUCCUCUUCGGAGGCCGACGGUUAGGUGCUGCAUGGCUGUCGUCAGCUCGUAUCGUGAGAUGUCGGGUUAAGUCCCUUAACGAGCGCAACCCUUGUCUGUAGUUGCCAUCAUUCAGUUGGGCACUCUACAGAGACCGCCGGCGUUAAGCCGGAGGAAGGCGGGGAUGACGUCAAGUCCUCAUGGCCCUUAUGUCCAGGGCUACACACGUGCUACAAUGGCCGAUACAAAGGGAUGCCAACCUGUAAAGGGGAGCAAAUCUCAGAAAGUCGGUCUCAGUUCGGAUUGAAGUCUGCAACUCGACUUCAUGAAGCUGGAAUCGCUAGUAAUCGCAGAUCAGCACGCUGCGGUGAAUACGUUCCCGGGCCUUGUACACACCGCCCGUCACACCACGAAAGUCAAUUGCACCAGAAGUCACCACGCUAACCGUAAGGAGGCAGGUGCCCAAGGUGCGGUCGAUGAUUGGGGUGAAGUCGUAACAAGGUAGCCGUAGGGGAACCUGCGGCUG